GACGGAGGGUGCAAGCGUUGCUCGGAAUCAUUGGGCGUAAAGGGUGCGUAGGCGGUCCUCUAAGUCUGACGUGAAAGUCCAGGGCUCACCCGUGGAAGUGCGCCAGAAACUGGGGGACUAGAGUGCCGGAGGGGAGAGUGGAAUUCCUGGUGUAGCGGUGAAAUGCGUAGAUAUCAGGAGGAAUACCGGUGGCGAAAGCGACUCUCUGGACGGCAACUGACGCUGAGGCACGAAAGCGUGGGGAGCAAACAGG
This 253-nucleotide ribosomal RNA is filed under the name uncultured bacterium. RNAcentral describes it as "partial 16S ribosomal RNA". It matches the Rfam family "Bacterial small subunit ribosomal RNA", at positions 524 to 776 of the family's 1533-position model. The record is from RNAcentral.